CCUAAUACAUGCAAGUCGAGCGAACGGAUAAGGAGCUUGCUCCUUUGAAGUUAGCGGCGGACGGGUGAGUAACACGUGGGUAACCUACCUAUAAGACUGGAAUAACUUCGGGAAACCGGAGCUAAUGCCGGAUAACAUAUAGAACCGCAUGGUUCUAUAGUGAAAGAUGGUUUUGCUAUCACUUAUAGAUGGACCCGCGCCGUAUUAGCUAGUUGGUAAGGUAAUGGCUUACCAAGGCGACGAUACGUAGCCGACCUGAGAGGGUGAUCGGCCACACUGGAACUGAGACACGGUCCAGACUCCUACGGGAGGCAGCAGUAGGGAAUCUUCCGCAAUGGGCGAAAGCCUGACGGAGCAACGCCGCGUGAGUGAUGAAGGUUUUCGGAUCGUAAAACUCUGUUAUUAGGGAAGAACAAAUGCGUAAGUAACUGUGCGCAUCUUGACGGUACCUAAUCAGAAAGCCACGGCUAACUACGUGCCAGCAGCCGCGGUAAUACGUAGGUGGCAAGCGUUAUCCGGAAUUAUUGGGCGUAAAGCGCGCGUAGGCGGUUUCUUAAGUCUGAUGUGAAAGCCCACGGCUCACCCG
RNAcentral lists this ribosomal RNA (586 nucleotides) under Staphylococcus succinus. Its description in RNAcentral is "bacterial SSU rRNA". It matches the Rfam family "Bacterial small subunit ribosomal RNA", at positions 47 to 615 of the family's 1533-position model. Lineage: Bacteria; Bacillati; Bacillota; Bacilli; Caryophanales; Staphylococcaceae. The record is from RNAcentral.